AAUAUUUGACAAUGGGGGCAACCCUGAUCCAGCCAUGCCGCGUGUGUGAAGAAGGUCUUCGGAUUGUAAAGCACUCUAAGUUGGGAGGAAGGGCUUUAGGUUAAUACACUGAAGUUCUGACGUUACCAACAGAAUAAGCACCGGCUAACUCUGUGCCAGAAGCAGCGGUAAUACAGACGGUGCAAGCGUUAAUCGGAAUUACUUGGCGUAAAGGGCGCGUAGGUUGUUCAGUAAGAUGGGUGUGAAAUCCCCGGGCUUAACCUGGGAACUGCUUUCAUAACUGCUGAGCUAGAGUACGGUAGAGGGUAGUGGAAUUUCCUGUGUAGCGGUGAAAUGCGUAGAUAUAGGAAGGAACACCAGUGGCGAAGGCGACUACCUGGACUGAUACUGACACUGAGGUGCGAAAGCGUGGGGAGCAAAC
This 421-nucleotide ribosomal RNA is filed under the name uncultured bacterium. Its description in RNAcentral is "partial 16S ribosomal RNA". It matches the Rfam family "Bacterial small subunit ribosomal RNA", at positions 360 to 773 of the family's 1533-position model. The record is from RNAcentral.